This 430-nucleotide ribosomal RNA is filed under the name Acidobacteriota bacterium. Its description in RNAcentral is "Acidobacteria bacterium partial 16S ribosomal RNA". It matches the Rfam family "Bacterial small subunit ribosomal RNA", at positions 355 to 776 of the family's 1533-position model. Lineage: Bacteria; Pseudomonadati; Acidobacteriota. The record is from RNAcentral.
UGGGGAAUAUUGGACAAUGGGCGGAAGCCUGAUCCAGCCAUGCCGCGUGUGUGAAGAAGGCCUUUUGGUUGUAAAGCACUUUAAGCGAGGAGGAGGCUACUUGGAUUAAUACUCUAGGAUAGUGGACGUUACUCGCAGAAUAAGCACCGGCUAACUCUGUGCCAGCAGCCGCGGUAAUACAGAGGGUGCGAGCGUUAAUCGGAUUUACUGGGCGUAAAGCGUGCGUAGGCGGCUUCUUAAGUCGGAUGUGAAAUCCCUGAGCUUAACUUAGGAAUUGCAUUGUAUACUGGGAAGCUAGAGUAUGGGAGAGGAUGGUAGAAUUCGAGGUGUAGCGGUGAAAUGCGUAGAGAUCUGGAGGAAUACCGAUGGCGAAGGCAGCCAUCUGGCCUAAUACUGACGCUGAGGUAAGAAAGCAUGGGGAGCAAACAGG